Tyto alba (common barn owl) is the source of this 3440-nucleotide long non-coding RNA. RefSeq lists it as uncharacterized. Lineage: Eukaryota; Metazoa; Chordata; Aves; Strigiformes; Tytonidae. The record is from RefSeq and is a predicted model, not a curated record. The transcript has 2 exons.
GACCCAGGGCUGCAGCAGCUGAAGAGGCAGUAGAGAAAGCUGGAGAGCUGGCAGGUGAGAGGAACACUGUGACACUCCAAACCCCCUGCACACAGGACCAGGGCCCACGACUCAGCUGCUGUUUGCAUUAAGGCCUGAGGUGUGUAGUAGUUCAAGUAAGCACCGCCGAAAGCAAGUUAAAAAAACAUGGGUUUCGCCAAGUACACACAAGAGUAAGCUCUGCCCUUCACUUUGCUUCACUAGCUCUCUGGUAACAGAUUUUAAAGAGUAAGCAUGAACUGGCAAUAGUUAGUGCAGCUGAUAACCUGGAUUGCAAGGUAAGAUAGGAUAAGUCAUGUUUCAGAUUCAUUCUGUAAGUUUACAGCAAUUAUUAUUAAAGUUUGUACUGAGAUUAUCUAAUCAAUCUUUUAAUUUAUUCAUAGCUCUAGAAAAACUCCAACCAGCAUUCAGGCAGAACCUUCUGUCUGCUGAGGGCAGGUCAGUCAAUCACACUCACAAAAAUUUUCUGUACCCAACCUUUCCUCCCUGCCAAAGCUCCUUCCCGCAAUUUUCCUCAUGAAAAAGGAUGCUUGUGCAGAAUUAGGAUAUUUUGACUCUUUGAAACUUUAAUCAGAACAUUCUCCUUAAAUGUCUAAAUUUAAACAUAACUAUGCCCCAGGGACAACUGCAGCUUUAAAAAGAUCUAGUCUUCUAUUGGUACAAACAGCAGUGAGCUAUUAUGCUUCUUAUUUCUUAGAAAAGGUGGGAAUUCAGAGUGACAGGCUGUUCUCAAUAACCAACCCCUAACUUCUCUUGCAGGAAUCUUUUUAUCUGAUACAGAUCAAUUCAGUUAAAUAGACUUGCAUUUCAGCACUUUGCUGCCAAGUACACCAGGCAAUGCUAACAGGUGGCAGUGACAUGUCCUGAAUGGUAACCACAACUUAGUUCAUCAUUUCAGAACACAAUAGGUACAAAAGGUGGUGUGUGUGCAAUUUUUUCUCUAGUCCUCCUACGAGUGCAGUUACGUUACAGCUAACACUUAACAAAAUUAAUACUAGUGAAAGCCAUUAUCAUUGAUCAGUGCCAUUGGUUUAAUUUGGACUGACUUUACUAUUUAAGAUGGAGUACGCUCUAUUUACAUUUCAAGUACAAUGCAACUCAAAAGCCACAAAAAUUAGACCAAUUUUAUACCAGUUUCAAGAGAUCAGAUCUGUUCACACCAACUAUAUGUAAAUUUUUCAAGUGUCUCAUGACAGACACCUAUUCCACAGUCUAGUGUUAUUUUCUACUGCAUCUGUUCUAUUCAGAUUUUUGGUCAUGGUUCUUAAAGGAGUUUUACUUUAUCAGAAUUCCUAACUCAGUGGCUAGUUACAAACAAGCCAAGCAGCAAAGCCUUCAUGCACAAGUACGUAAAGUCAUAGCAAUUACACUUUAGACUGGGCAAGAAUACAAGGCUUAGUUUAGUUUUGCUAUUCAAACCAUCUACAGCUGCCAGCUUAACCUUCUCCAAAACUUUGGCAAAAAAAGAGUGGGUUGCAGGUUCUGGUUCUAUCCUCCUGAACUUCUGACUCAGAGUUGUUUUACUUGCACCUUCUACUGUUGCCCUUUUCUCUCACCUGUACAGUAAAUUUAGUUGGAAACUACUGGUUAGGACUGUUCUUUCCUGACUCGUGGUUCCUCUCCAUCCAGUUUUGCAGCACUUGGGAAUGAAAUGCAGUUUAUCUAGUAACCUAUAACUGAAGUACACAAGAACUAGUAUUAGAGGCAUGCACCACUGAACUCAUCAGCAUCAGCUGUAACAGCAGAGUUUAAACACAAAUGACAGACCAAAUUUACAGAAACACAAGCCUGUUAUUGAAACAAUGCUAUAUUUCACUACACUGCAUCUUGCUACACGCAAAAUUGCAAUUCUGAAACAGCAGAAUUUGGAAUUAAGUGAACCUCAAAACUGUACUUGUGUCCCUUUAUCUCAAUAAAGGGUAUUUAACUGCAGAACCUUAAUAAAAGGACAUCCACUUGAGAAGCAUCUUUACCCAAGAGUAGCCGUGAAGGGGCAAGCAAGCCCUGCAGAUCUAGCAUCAGCUCUAUUAUUCCACAAACAGGAAAUGCUUUCACAACUCGAAGAUUACUGUGUCAUGACUGGGAAGCACAACAUACCAUUAGGAACUUUUCUGGAUGCCCUACAUCCUGCUUGACACUGUUACACAGGAGUUGCAGCUACAUCAAAAAGCAGCCAGCUCCUGACCUCAAGAUUGUAAGUGUAGCUAGUGCUCUGCUUUAUCUCUAAAUUGGAGUCCACAGAAACACCCUGUUCUGCUGUUAACUGCUGGCUAUGGCACAUUUCUGAAACACAGAAACAGCAUUUAAGGAUCAUGGAAUUUUUUUUAGUAAUUUAAAAAGUCAAAUACCCUUUAUGAUUGUCAUCCCUUUUACAGAAGCAUCAUACCUUGAUUUACUGGGCUACACGUUGUACAGCAAGUUACUGAGGCACCUGGAGCAGCUCAGCUCACUGAUGGGAUCUAACUUAGGAGCAUACGAGAGGCCACUAUCUGUAACUGCAGGUCAGGAAGCCUGCCCCUCCCAGCAAAUGGCCCAAGGAGAGAACCAGACCCACUCUAGUCACACCACUUUAAGGUACAUAAAUGCAAACUAUCCUUCCCCUCAAAGGAAGCCCUUUUACAAUCUCUAGUAGUUUCCUCAUGCUCCACUUUCUCAUUUCCCACAAUACAUAAGACGGUAUUUAAGCUAAAGCACUACCACCACUGGCAAAUCCAACUUUCAGUCAAGGAGACACUACUGUUUUGCCAUUACAAAUACAUCACCUUGCAACAGUUGAAGUCUCAGUACAAGGAAAAAAAAUUUCACUAGGGACAAGGUUCUGGGAAGUCAGGUAUUUUGAAUAUUUAAUAGAUGACAUUUCAAGCCUGUACAAAGCAACAUCACGAGGGGUUUUCUUGCCAAUUUGAUUUGAGAAACAGGCAGCUAAUAAUCAGUGCUGCUCAAGAGACACGCGUAUGACCUGGGGAAAGCUCAAAGCAUUAGGAAGUUAAAAAGCACAUACUCACUGAUAAAGCAUACAUUGGGCCACAAGGCAAACUGUUACCAUUUCUUCAGCAGAAUUUAAUUUUCCUCCUGUCACAGCAAAUUUGUAGUGUCUAAUCUUGUCUGUGACCUUAUUUAGAAUUCAUUUGCAUGUUAAGACAGUUAUUAUUAAAAGAAUUUUAGGAUGGUCCCAGUCUAAGUCAACUCCCACUGCUGUUUCCUUCCGUAAGUAAACCAGUUAUCAGUUAAAGCUCUUCUACUGGGAGACAUUCAGAAACAAGUCAAGUAUCACAAUGUUUAUUGAUAGAUACAAGUAUAUAAAAUCAGGGCAUGAACAUGUCUUGAUAAAUUAAGUAGACUUAAUUUCAGUACUAUUAUAGAGGGACCAAUUCAAAUUUCUCACCAUGUCAUGUUUCACA